GGCCAGGUAGCUCAGUUGGAAGAGCAACCCAGUGCAAUUGGGGGAAGGCCCCGGUUUUGAUCCCUGGUCUGGCCA
This is a non-coding RNA of Phanerochaete carnosa HHB-10118-sp, 75 nucleotides long. The record is from the annotation of a RefSeq genome assembly. Lineage: Eukaryota; Fungi; Basidiomycota; Agaricomycetes; Polyporales; Phanerochaetaceae.